This 506-nucleotide ribosomal RNA is filed under the name uncultured bacterium. Its description in RNAcentral is "partial 16S ribosomal RNA". It matches the Rfam family "Bacterial small subunit ribosomal RNA", at positions 28 to 523 of the family's 1533-position model. The record is from RNAcentral.
GAUGAACGCUAGCUACAGGCUUAACACAUGCAAGUCGAGGGGUAACGAGAGGAAAGCUUGCUUUCCUUGUCGACGACCGGCGCACGGGUGAGUAACGCGUAUCCAACCUGCCCCCAACUAGGGAAUAACCUUGCGAAAGUAAGACUAAUACCCUAUAAUUUCCUCCGAUGUCAUCUGACGAGGAAUAAAGAUUUAACGGUUGUGGAUGGGGAGGCGUGUGAUUAGCUUGUUGGCGGGGUAACGGCCCACCAAGGAAACGAUCAGUAGGGGUUCUGAGAGGAAGGUCCCCCACAUUGGAACUGAGACACGGUCCAAACGCCUACGGGAGGCAGCAGUGAGGAAUAUUGGUCAAUGGGCGGAAGCCUGAACCAGCCAAGUAGCGUGCAGGAUGACGGCCCUAUGGGUUGUAAACUGCUUUUAUACAGGAAUAAAGUUAGCCACGUGUGGUUAUUUGUAGGUACUGUAUGAAUAAGGACCGGCUAAUUCCGUGCCAGCCGCCGCUGUAA